Molecule: unclassified non-coding RNA, 162 nt
Filed under: uncultured fungus
Lineage: Eukaryota; Fungi
Description: sequence contains ITS1, 5.8S rRNA gene
Source: RNAcentral
AUGAGAAAGGGUCUUUAGGCCCAACCUCAAACCCAUGUCUACAUUACUUUGUUGCCUCGGCAGAGCGUCUGUUUACAGACCAUUGGCUUUGCUGAUGAGUCUUUGCCGAUGGGAUUUUUACACUCUGUCUCCAGUUUUCUGAAACACAUACAAACAAAAUCA